GAGUUUGAUCCUGGCUCAGAUUGAACGCUGGCGGCAGGCUUAACACAUGCAAGUCGAGCAAAAGGAAGGUAGCUUGCUACUGGACCUAGCGGCGGACGGGUGAGUAAUGCUUAGGAAUCUGCCUAUUAGUGGGGGACAACAUCUCGAAAGGGAUGCUAAUACCGCAUACGUCCUACGGGAGAAAGCAGGGGAUCUUCGGACCUUGCGCUAAUAGAUGAGCCUAAGUCGGAUUAGCUAGUUGGUGGGGUAAAGGCCUACCAAGGCGACGAUCUGUAGCGGGUCUGAGAGGAUGAUCCGCCACACUGGGACUGAGACACGGCCCAGACUCCUACGGGAGGCAGCAGUGGGGAAUAUUGGACAAUGGGGGGAACCCUGAUCCAGCCAUGCCGCGUGUGUGAAGAAGGCCUUAUGGUUGUAAAGCACUUUAAGCGAGGAGGAGGCUACUUUAGUUAAUACCUAGAGAUAGUGGACGUACUCGCAGAAUAAGCACCGGCUAACUCUGUGCCAGCAGCCGCGGUAAUACAGAGGGUGCGAGCGUUAAUCGGAUUUACUGGGCGUAAAGCGUGCGUAGGCGGCUUAUUAAGUCGGAUGUGAAAUCCCCGAGCUUAACUUGGGAAUUGCAUUCGAUACUGGUGAGCUAGAGUAUGGGAGAGGAUGGUAGAAUUCCAGGUGUAGCGGUGAAAUGCGUAGAGAUCUGGAGGAAUACCGAUGGCGAAGGCAGCCAUCUGGCCUAAUACUGACGCUGAGGUACGAAAGCAUGGGGAGCAAACAGGAUUAGAUACCCUGGUAGUCCAUGCCGUAAACGAUGUCUACUAGCCGUUGGGGCCUUUGAGGCUUUAGUGGCGCAGCUAACGCGAUAAGUAGACCGCCUGGGGAGUACGGUCGCAAGACUAAAACUCAAAUGAAUUGACGGGGGCCCGCACAAGCGGUGGAGCAUGUGGUUUAAUUCGAUGCAACGCGAAGAACCUUACCUGGCCUUGACAUACUAGAAACUUUCCAGAGAUGGAUUGGUGCCUUCGGGAAUCUAGAUACAGGUGCUGCAU
This 1043-nucleotide ribosomal RNA is filed under the name Acinetobacter baumannii. RNAcentral's name for it is "bacterial SSU rRNA". It matches the Rfam family "Bacterial small subunit ribosomal RNA", at positions 9 to 1046 of the family's 1533-position model. The record is from RNAcentral. Lineage: Bacteria; Pseudomonadati; Pseudomonadota; Gammaproteobacteria; Moraxellales; Moraxellaceae.